This 279-nucleotide unclassified non-coding RNA is filed under the name plant metagenome. RNAcentral describes it as "partial contains small subunit ribosomal RNA, internal transcribed spacer 1, and 5.8S ribosomal RNA". The record is from RNAcentral.
UUUCCGUAGGUGAACCUGCGGAAGGAUCAUUAAAGAGUUCAUGCCUUCAUGGGUCGAUCUCCUACCUUUGAAUAUUUAUACAUUAGUUGAUUUGGCAGGUCGUGGAAACAACAAGGGUACCGGAACUUGCGUGCAUGUAAGCGGAAACUAUCUCUGUUUUUUGUGAUGUAUGAGUACUAUAUAGUAGUUAUAACUUGUAAAAACGGAUCUCCUGGUUCCGGCAUCGAUGUAGAACGCAACAGAACGGAAGAGCACAUGUCUGAAAUCCAUACACCAUUU